CCUACGGGAGGCAGCAGUGAGGAAUAUUGGUCAAUGGACGAGAGUCUGAACCAGUCAAGUAGCGUGAAGGAUGACUGCCCUAUGGGUUGUAAACUUCUUUUAUAAAGGAAUAAAACGAGGCACGUGUGCCUUUUUGCAUGUACUUUAUGAAUAAGGAUCGGCUAACUCCGUGCCAGCAGCCGCGGUAAUACGGAGGAUCCGAGCGUUAUCCGGAUUUAUUGGGUUUAAAGGGGGCGUAGAUGGGGUGUUAAGUCAGUUGUUAAAGUUUGCGGCUCAACCGUAAAAUUGCAUUUGAUACUGGCAGUCUUGAGUACAGUUGAGGUAAGCGGUAUUCGUGGUGUAGCGGUGAAAUGCUUAGAUAUCGCGAAGAACCCCGAUUGCGAAGGCAGCUUACUAAACUGUGACUGACAUUGAUGCUCGAAAGUGUGGGUAUCAAACAGGAUUAGAUACCCCAGUAGUC
RNAcentral lists this ribosomal RNA (460 nucleotides) under uncultured bacterium. RNAcentral's name for it is "partial 16S ribosomal RNA". It matches the Rfam family "Bacterial small subunit ribosomal RNA", at positions 338 to 795 of the family's 1533-position model. The record is from RNAcentral.